Molecule: ribosomal RNA, 1227 nt
Filed under: Triticum aestivum (bread wheat)
Lineage: Eukaryota; Viridiplantae; Streptophyta; Magnoliopsida; Poales; Poaceae
Description: partial small subunit ribosomal RNA
Source: RNAcentral
AUGAAAAUCCAGGAAAAACAACUAACUAUAGUAUUCUUAUAUAAAGGGCCACAUAAAAGGCUGGGCCAGGCCCAGCCCGUGGCAACGCACAGGCGACGGCCCACCUCCACCACGCGACGGCCCACAUCCCCCGGGCGACGGCGCUCCUACCCCGGCCGACGGCCCACCUCCCUCGCCUCCCACAAAACCUAUCGCCACCUACCCCUCGCAACCUUAUCCCAUUCACUCCUCACUCCACUCUCUUCAACUCCCCUUUCCCCUCCGCCGCCGCAUCGCGCGCGCGUCCACGAGACGCCGGCCGCGCGCGUCCACGAGCCGCCGGACGCGCUCCUCCGCCCACUGUUGCCGCAUCAGGCCCUCACCUAUCCUCUCCACCCUCGCCAGUCGCCACAUCUAGCCCGCUCACCUCCCCCUGCCGCAUCGUCGCACACGUCGCCUAGCCCCCAACGUCCACGACUCCGCCAGCCGACCACCGCAGCAGUCUCCGGUGACCCGUGUGCGGCCGCAGGUGACGCACACAUCGAGCAACAUCGACCGGGCACGGGUGCUGGAUCUGGUCGCCGUUCGGAGAGCAUGCUUCGGCGGGAUUGGCAGGCCUGUGGCCAGGGUUGCGCUCUAGAGCCACGAUGUCGAGCUUGUCGCCGUCAAAGACCCCUUCAUCACCACCGACUACAUGGUUUCGUCCGGAUCGGCAGGCUUGUGGCCAGGGUUGCUCUCCAGAGCCCCGAUGUCGGGCUGGUCGCCGUCAACGACCCCUUCAUGAGCACUGACUACAUGGGUGGUGCCAAUAAGGUCAUCAUUUCUGCUCCCAGCAAGGAUGCUCCCAUGUUUGUCUGUGGUGUCAAUGAGAAGGAAUACAAAUCUGACAUCGACAUUGUCUCCAACGCUAGCUGCACCACUAACUACCUUGCUCCUCUUGGUAAGGUUAUCAAUGACAGGUUUGGCAUCGUUGAGGGUUUGAUGACAACAGUUCAUGCCAUGACUGCAACCCAGAAGACUGUUGAAUGUCCUUCCAGCAAGGACUGGAUAGGGGGAAGGGCUGCCAGCUUCAACAUCAUUCCGAGCAGCACUGGUGUCACAAAGAUAGAUCCAGAAAUUUUCAUACCUAGAGGACGAUGCCUUCUUGGUGCUCCUUGCUUACAGCAGGUACACCUCCGGAAUUUGUCCUCCAAGUCUGGGUAUUUUGAUGCUUUUCUAUAUGUGAUGGGUGAAGGGAAAGAAUCAUAA